RNAcentral lists this ribosomal RNA (252 nucleotides) under uncultured bacterium. Its description in RNAcentral is "partial 16S ribosomal RNA". It matches the Rfam family "Bacterial small subunit ribosomal RNA", at positions 524 to 776 of the family's 1533-position model. The record is from RNAcentral.
UACGUAGGUCCCGAGCGUUGUCCGGAUUUAUUGGGCGUAAAGCGAGUGCAGGUGGUUUAUUAAGUCUGGUGUAAAAGGCGGUGGCUCAACCAUUGUAUGCAUUGGAAACUGGUAGACUUGAGUGCAGGAGAGGAGAGUGGAAUUCCAUGUGUAGCGGUGAAAUGCGUAGAUAUAUGGAGGAACACCGGUGGCGAAAGCGGCUCUCUGGCCUGUAACUGACACUGAGGCUCGAAAGCGUGGGGAGCAAACAGG